CCGGAGGAAGUGGGGAUGACGUCAAAUCAUCAUGCCCUUAUGACCUGGGCUACACACGUGCUACAAUGGUUGGUACAACGAGUUGCGAGUCGGUGACGGCGAGCUAAUCUCUUAAAGCCAAUCUCAGUUCGGAUUGUAGGCUGCAACUCGCCUACAUGAAGUCGGAAUCGCUAGUAAUCGCGGAUCAGCACGCCGCGGUGAAUACCGUUCCCGGGCCUU
This 219-nucleotide ribosomal RNA is filed under the name uncultured Streptococcus sp. RNAcentral describes it as "partial 16S ribosomal RNA". It matches the Rfam family "Bacterial small subunit ribosomal RNA", at positions 1163 to 1382 of the family's 1533-position model. Lineage: Bacteria; Bacillati; Bacillota; Bacilli; Lactobacillales; Streptococcaceae. The record is from RNAcentral.